CCCAUAGGAGGCGCUGCACACUAUGGGUCUGAGGAUGAAUCUAUGGGUCUGAGGAUGAAUCUAUGGGUCUGAGGAUGAAUCUAUGGGUCUGAGGAUGAAUCUAUGGGUCUGAGGUUGAAUCUAUGGGUCUGAGGAUGAAUCUAUGGGUCUGAG
This is a non-coding RNA of Coturnix japonica (Japanese quail), 153 nucleotides long. Lineage: Eukaryota; Metazoa; Chordata; Aves; Galliformes; Phasianidae. The record is from RefSeq and is a predicted model, not a curated record.